CCCCUUGUGGUGUAGUUGGAUAUCACGUUCGGCUGUAAUGGUUCAUUGUUACCGAAAGGUCACCGGCUCGAUUCCGGUCGAGGGGA
Molecule: transfer RNA, 86 nt
Filed under: Coniochaeta ligniaria NRRL 30616
Lineage: Eukaryota; Fungi; Ascomycota; Sordariomycetes; Coniochaetales; Coniochaetaceae
Rfam family: tRNA
About the family: Transfer RNA (tRNA) molecules are approximately 80 nucleotides in length. Their secondary structure includes four short double-helical elements and three loops (D, anti-codon, and T loops).
Source: Rfam by way of RNAcentral